GCGGUUGGGGCGAAGUGGUUACCGCAUCGGUUUGUGGUUCCGACAUUCGUGGGUUCGAUUCCCAUCAACCGCC
Molecule: transfer RNA, 73 nt
Filed under: Staphylococcus pseudintermedius
Lineage: Bacteria; Bacillati; Bacillota; Bacilli; Caryophanales; Staphylococcaceae
Description: tRNA-His
Rfam family: tRNA
About the family: Transfer RNA (tRNA) molecules are approximately 80 nucleotides in length. Their secondary structure includes four short double-helical elements and three loops (D, anti-codon, and T loops).
Source: RNAcentral